RNAcentral lists this ribosomal RNA (252 nucleotides) under uncultured bacterium. RNAcentral describes it as "partial 16S ribosomal RNA". It matches the Rfam family "Bacterial small subunit ribosomal RNA", at positions 524 to 776 of the family's 1533-position model. The record is from RNAcentral.
UACGUAGGUGGCAAGCGUUAUCCGGAAUUAUUGGGCGUAAAGCGCGCGCAGGUGGUUUCUUAAGUCUGAUGUGAAAGCCCACGGCUCAACCGUGGAGGGUCAUUGGAAACUGGGGAACUUGAGUGCAGGAGAGAAGAGUGGAAUUCCACGUGUAGCGGUGAAAUGCGUAGAGAUGUGGAGGAACACCAGUGGCGAAGGCGACUCUUGGCCUGUAACUGACACUGAGGCGCGAAAGCGUGGGGAGCAAACAGG